RNAcentral lists this unclassified non-coding RNA (352 nucleotides) under soil metagenome. RNAcentral's name for it is "partial contains 5.8S ribosomal RNA, internal transcribed spacer 2, and large subunit ribosomal RNA". The stretch from base 1 to 120 matches the Rfam family "5.8S ribosomal RNA", at positions 35 to 154 of the family's 154-position model. The record is from RNAcentral.
GAUGAAGAACGUAGCGAAAUGCGAUAAGUAAUGUGAAUUGCAGAAUUCAAUGAAUCAUCGAAUCUUUGAACGCACAUUGCGCCCGCCAGUAUUCUGGCGGGCAUGCCUGUUCGAGCGUCAUUUCAACCCUCAGGCCCCCAGUGCCUGGUGUUGGGGAUCGGCCCAGCCUUCCUGUAAGGCCGCCGGCCCCGAAAUCUAGUGGCGGUCUCGCUGUAGUCCUCCUCUGCGUAGUAGCACAACCUCGCAGUUGGAACGCGGCGGUGGCCAUGCCGUUAAACACCCCACUUCUGAAAGUUGACCUCGGAUCAGGUAGGAAUACCCGCUGAACUUAAGCAUAUCAAUAAGCGGAGGA